Molecule: ribosomal RNA, 253 nt
Filed under: uncultured bacterium
Lineage: Bacteria
Description: partial 16S ribosomal RNA
Rfam family: Bacterial small subunit ribosomal RNA
Source: RNAcentral
GACAGAGGGUGCAAACGUUGUUCGGAAUUACUGGGCGUAAAGCGUGCGCAGGCGGUUGUGCAAGACAGGUGUGAAAUCCCCGGGCUUAACCUGGGAACUGCACUUGUGACUGCACAGCUGGAGUACGGCAGAGGGGGAUGGAAUUCCGCGUGUAGCAGUGAAAUGCGUAGAUAUGCGGAGGAACACCGAUGGCGAAGGCAGUCCCCUGGGCCUGUACUGACGCUCAUGCACGAAAGCGUGGGGAGCAAGCAGG